RNAcentral lists this ribosomal RNA (253 nucleotides) under uncultured bacterium. RNAcentral describes it as "partial 16S ribosomal RNA". It matches the Rfam family "Bacterial small subunit ribosomal RNA", at positions 524 to 776 of the family's 1533-position model. The record is from RNAcentral.
UACGUAGGGGGCGAGCGUUGUCCGGAUUUACUGGGCGUAAAGCGCGUGUAGGUGGGGAAGCAAGUCCGGUGGGAAAGCCCGCGGCUCAACCGCGGAAGUUCGCUGGAAACUGCUACUCUUGAGGGUGAUAGAGGGAAGUGGAAUUGCUGGUGUAGCGGUGAAAUGCGUAGAUAUCUGGAGGAACACCUGUGGCGAAGGCGGCCGACUGGGCCGACCCUGACGCUGAGGCGCGAAGGCGUGGGGAGCGAACGGG